Molecule: ribosomal RNA, 377 nt
Filed under: uncultured bacterium
Lineage: Bacteria
Description: bacterial SSU rRNA
Rfam family: Bacterial small subunit ribosomal RNA
Source: RNAcentral
AGCGAACGUUUGCGGCGGGCCUAACACAUGCAAGUCGAACGCACUAGCAAUAGUGAGUGGCGCACGGGUGCGUAACACGUGGGUAAUCAACCCUUCAGCCUGGGAUAACGACUCGAAAGGGUCGCUAAUACCGGAUACGGCGCGAGAGGCUUCGGCUUCUCACGAGAAAGCCACGCAAGGGGCACUGAAGGACGAGCCUGCGGCCCAUCAGCUAGUUGGUGAGGUAAGAGCUCACCAAAGGCUAAGACGGGUAGCUGGUCUGAGAGGAUGAUCAGCCACACUGGAACUGAGACACGGUCCAGACUCCUACGGGAGGCAGCAGUGGGGAAUAUUGCGCAAUGGGCGAAAGCCUGACGCAGCCACGCCGCGUGAGCGAU